Molecule: ribosomal RNA, 864 nt
Filed under: uncultured bacterium
Lineage: Bacteria
Description: bacterial SSU rRNA
Rfam family: Bacterial small subunit ribosomal RNA
Source: RNAcentral
GAUGAACGCUAGCGGCAGGCUUAAUACAUGCAAGUCGAGGGGUAUAGAGUACUUGUAUUCUAGAGACCGGCGAACGGGUGCGUAACGCGUAUGCAACCUACCUUUAUCAAGGGGAUAGCCCAGAGAAAUUUGGAUUAAUACCGUAUAACAAUAGAAUUGGCAUCAAUUUUAUUUAAAAGAUUUAUUGGAUAGAGAUGGGCAUGCGUAGGAUUAGCUAGUUGGUGAGGUAACGGCUCACCAAGGCGACGAUCCUUAGGGGCUCUGAGAGGAGUAACCCCCACACUGGCACUGAGAUACGGGCCAGACUCCUACGGGAGGCAGCAGUAGGGAAUAUUGGUCAAUGGACGGAAGUCUGAACCAGCCAUGCCGCGUGCAGGAAGACUGCCCUCUGGGUUGUAAACUGCUUUUAUAUGGGAAGAAAAGGGUUCUGCGGAACACAUUGACGGUACCAUAGGAAUAAGCCACGGCUAACUACGUGCCAGCAGCCGCGGUAAUACGUAGGUGGCAAGCGUUAUCCGGAUUUAUUGGGUUUAAAGGGUGCGUAGGCGGCCUUAUAAGUCGGUGGUUAAAGGCAGCAGCUUAACUGUAUGCAUGCCAUCGAUACUGUAGGGCUUGAAUUAUCAGAAGGUAGGCGGAAUUUCUGGUGUAGCGGUGAAAUGCAUAGAUACCAGAAGGAACACCGAUUGCGAAGGCAGCUUACUGCAGAUACAUUGACGCUGAUGCACGAAAGCGUGGGGAGCGAACAGGAUUAGAUACCCUGGUAGUCCACGCCGUAAACGAUGAUUACUAGUUGUUGGCGAUAGAGAGUCAGUGACCAAGGGAAACCGAUAAGUAAUCCACCUGGAGAGUACGCCGGCAACGAUG